AAUGGAUAAAUUCCUGGACAUUUACACCUACCAAGUUUGAACCAAGAACAAAUAGGAAACCCAAACAGACCAACUACAAGUAAUUAAAUUGAAUUAGUAACAAAAAGUGUCCCAUCAAAGAAAAGCCUAGGACCUGGUGGCUUCACUGUUGAAUACUAUCAAACAUUUAAGGAACUAAUAUCAAUUCUUCUCAAACUCUUCAAAUUAAAGAGGAGAGGAUUCUUUCAACUUAUUCUGAGACCAGCAUACCCUAAUACCAAAACCAGACAAGGACACAACAAAAAAACAAAACUAUAGGACAAAACCUAUGAUGAACAUAGAUGCAAAAAUCCU
RNAcentral lists this long non-coding RNA (333 nucleotides) under Homo sapiens (human). RNAcentral's name for it is "non-protein coding lnc-UBA6-1:1". The record is from RNAcentral. Lineage: Eukaryota; Metazoa; Chordata; Mammalia; Primates; Hominidae.